This 218-nucleotide ribosomal RNA is filed under the name uncultured bacterium. RNAcentral's name for it is "partial 16S ribosomal RNA". It matches the Rfam family "Bacterial small subunit ribosomal RNA", at positions 28 to 241 of the family's 1533-position model. The record is from RNAcentral.
GACGAACGCUGGCGGCGUGCUUAACACAUGCAAGUCGAGCGGGUAAGGCCCUUUCGGGGGUACACGAGCGGCGAACGGGUGAGUAACACGUGGGUGACCUGCCCUCAGCUCUGGGGAUAAAGCCCUGGGGAAAACCGGGUCUAAUACUGGAUAUGACUCCAUGACGCAUGUUGUGGGGUGGAAAGCCUUGUGCGGCUGAGGAUGGGCCCGCGGCCUAU